This 439-nucleotide ribosomal RNA is filed under the name uncultured bacterium. Its description in RNAcentral is "partial 16S ribosomal RNA". It matches the Rfam family "Bacterial small subunit ribosomal RNA", at positions 339 to 795 of the family's 1533-position model. The record is from RNAcentral.
CUACGGGAUGCACCAGUGGGGAAUUUUGCGCAAUGGGGGAAACCCUGACGCAGCAAUACCGCGUGAGUGAAGAAGGCCUUUGGGUCGUAAAGCUCUUUUCUUGGGGAAGAUAGUGACGGUACCCAAGGAAUAAGCACCGGCUAACUCCGUGCCAGCAGCCGCGGUAAUACGGAGGGUGCAAGCGUUGUUCGGAUUUACUGGGCGUAAAGGGCACGUAGGCGGCACAGCAAGUUAAGGGUGAAAUCCCGGGGCUCAACUCCGGAACUGCUCUUAAAACUGCUGAGCUAGAGAUAGGCAGAGGCGGGUGGAAUUCCAGGUGUAGAGGUGAAAUUCGUAGAUAUCUGGAGGAACACCGGUGGCGAAGGCGGCCCGCUGGGGCUAUUCUGGCGCUAAGGUGCGAAAGCGUGGGGAGCAAACGGGAUUAGAUACCCCCGUAGUC